GACGAACGCUGGCGGCGUGCCUAAUACAUGCAAGUCGAACGCUGAAGGAGGAGCUUGCUUCUCUGGAUGAGUUGCGAACGGGUGAGUAACGCGUAGGUAACCUGCCUGGUAGCGGGGGAUAACUAUUGGAAACGAUAGCUAAUACCGCAUAAGAGUAGAUGUUGCAUGACAUUUGCUUAAAAGGUGCAAUUGCAUCACUACCAGAUGGACCUGCGUUGUAUUAGCUAGUUGGUGGGGUAACGGCUCACCAAGGCGACGAUACAUAGCCGACCUGAGAGGGUGAUCGGCCACACUGGGACUGAGACACGGCCCAGACUCCUACGGGAGGCAGCAGUAGGGAAUCUUCGGCAAUGGACGGAAGUCUGACCGAGAAACGCCGCGUGAGUGAAGAAGGUUUUCGGAUCGUAAAGCUCUGUUGUAAGAGAAGAACGAGUGUGAGAGUGGAAAGUUCACACUGUGACGGUAUCUUACCAGAAAGGGACGGCUAACUACGUG
RNAcentral lists this ribosomal RNA (495 nucleotides) under uncultured bacterium. Its description in RNAcentral is "partial 16S ribosomal RNA". It matches the Rfam family "Bacterial small subunit ribosomal RNA", at positions 28 to 507 of the family's 1533-position model. The record is from RNAcentral.